GCCUGGGUGGCUCAGUCGGUUGAGUGUCUGACUUCGGCUCAGGUCAUGAUCUCACGGUCUGUGAGUUCGAGCCCCGCAUCAGGCU
This 85-nucleotide transfer RNA is filed under the name Felis catus (domestic cat). It matches the Rfam family "tRNA". From Rfam's summary of the family: Transfer RNA (tRNA) molecules are approximately 80 nucleotides in length. Their secondary structure includes four short double-helical elements and three loops (D, anti-codon, and T loops). The record is from Rfam by way of RNAcentral. Lineage: Eukaryota; Metazoa; Chordata; Mammalia; Carnivora; Felidae.